RNAcentral lists this ribosomal RNA (379 nucleotides) under Chryseobacterium sp. A1-12. RNAcentral describes it as "partial 16S ribosomal RNA". It matches the Rfam family "Bacterial small subunit ribosomal RNA", at positions 140 to 526 of the family's 1533-position model. Lineage: Bacteria; Pseudomonadati; Bacteroidota; Flavobacteriia; Flavobacteriales; Weeksellaceae. The record is from RNAcentral.
GGAAAAAGGAAUGAUUAAUACCCCRUAAUAUAAUGAGUGGCAUCACUURUUAUUGAAAACUCCGAGUGGAURGAGAUGGGCRCGCGCAAGAUUAGAUAGUUGGUAGGGUAACGGCYUACCAAGUCAGUGRUCUUUAGGGGGCCUGAGAGGGUGAUCCCCCACACUGGUACUGAGACACGGACCAGACUCCUACGGGAGGCAGCAGUGAGGAAUAUUGGACAAUGGGUGAGAGCCUGAUCCAGCCAUCCCGCGUGAAGGACGACGGCCCUAUGGGUUGUAAACUUCUUUUGUAUAGGGAUAAACCUUUCCACGUMUGGAAAGCUGAAGGUACUAUACGAAUAAGCACCGGCUAACUCCGUGCCAGCCGMCGCGGUAAUAC